CGAAGGAUGCAAGCGUUAUCCGGAUUCAUUGGGUUUAAAGGGAGCGUAGGUGGCUUUGUAAGUCAGUGGUGAAAUCUUCUCGCUUAACGAGAAAACUGCCAUUGAUACUGCAGAGCUUGAGUACAGUUGCCGUUGGCGGAAUAUGACAUGUAGUGGUGAAAUACAUAGAGAUGUCAUAGAACACCGAUUGCGAAGGCAGCUAACGAAACUGUAACUGACACUGAGGCUCGAAAGUGCGGGGAUCAAACAGGAUUAGAUACCCUGGUAGUCCGCACUGUAAACGAUGAUUACUCGCUGCUGGAGGGCAACUUUCAGUGGCUUAGCGAAAGCGAUAAGUAAUCCACCUGGGGAGUACGCCGGCAACGGUG
RNAcentral lists this ribosomal RNA (368 nucleotides) under uncultured organism. RNAcentral's name for it is "bacterial SSU rRNA". It matches the Rfam family "Bacterial small subunit ribosomal RNA", at positions 526 to 896 of the family's 1533-position model. The record is from RNAcentral.